This 403-nucleotide ribosomal RNA is filed under the name uncultured bacterium. RNAcentral's name for it is "partial 16S ribosomal RNA". It matches the Rfam family "Bacterial small subunit ribosomal RNA", at positions 30 to 526 of the family's 1533-position model. The record is from RNAcentral.
AUUGAACGCUGGCGGCAGGCCUAACACAUGCAAGUCGAGCGAUCGGCGGACGGGUGAGUAAUGUCUGGGGUCUGCCCGAUUGCGGGGGAUGACUACUGUUAACGGUGGCUAAUACCGCCUACUAUCGGUUAACCACUAUGGGAUUAGCUCGUAGGUAAGGUAAUGGCUUACCUCGGCGACGUACCCUAGCUGGUCUGAGAGGAUGAUCAGCCAAACGGGGAAUGAGACACGGCCCAGACUCCUACGGAGUCAGCAGUGGGAAAUAUGGCAAAAUGGGCGCAAGCCUGAUGAGGCAAUGCCGGGUAGAGGAAGCAGGCCCUAGGGUGGUAAAGUACUUUCAGUGGGGAGGCGUUACCGAAAGAAGAAGCAACGGCUAACUCCGUGCCAGCAGCCGCGGUAAUAC